RNAcentral lists this transfer RNA (74 nucleotides) under Minisyncoccota bacterium. RNAcentral's name for it is "tRNA-Gly". It matches the Rfam family "tRNA". Rfam says of the family: Transfer RNA (tRNA) molecules are approximately 80 nucleotides in length. Lineage: Bacteria; Bacillati; Minisyncoccota. The record is from RNAcentral.
GCGGGAUUAGUUAAGUGGCAUAAUAUUAGCUUCCCAAGCUGAGGUCGCGGGUUCGAUUCCCGCAUUCCGCACCA